CCCUGUGUUUGUUCCCCCCGGGGGGGGGGGGGGUGUCACUCUGGUUGUGUGUAUGUGAGUGCUUGUGUAUGGUGGGGUAGUUAUUAGUUCUGGUGGCCUCCACCAGGCGGCUGGCACUGGCCAGGUGGAAGGCCCUGAGUUGACCCCGAGGAGGCAGCUGAAAAAGUCACGAGGAGCAGAGUGUGGGUCAGUACACAGCAGAUAUGUACCAGAGGAAAGAUUCCUGCUCUAAAGCAGUCUCACCGUUGGAGACUCUCCUUUCCAGCACAGGAGGUGUUCUUCCCCUUCGCUGCCUUGAACCGGCUCUUUGGUUGCCUCUCCCGGUAUCUGGGAGGGUAGUUGACUCGCCGCUUGUCCUGCUCCGCCAAGCGAGUCCAAAGCAGGAUGAGUCGUUCUACUCUCAGGCAGCCCCAGAAGGUUCCUCCCUUCCACCAGCGCCUAGGCCAGGUUCAGGACGUGCUGGUACCCAGGCCAUCAGGACCCUGGAUGUUCUCCUGAGAAGAAACGAGGAGGAACAAAGCCAGUAAACACAGUGCUGUAAGAGACUCGAUCUCACAAUCAUCAGUAUGUGAACUUAGUUCAGAGUCUGAGGAGGGCUGCUGGGGAUCAGGGUCCUGAACCUCUGGGGCCUCAGGAGGGGCAACUUGACCAAAUCGGGAUGGCUUAGACGGUGCGUCAGCUGGAUCACCUGACCGAGAUGCUGCCACGCUGGAGGAUGGAGUAUCGGGCCCGAAGACUGUAGGGUCCGCUAAGUCUUCCUCGAUGCCCUCGUCCUCCUCCAGCGCCUCGAUGGUAGGAGCCUCGUCCGGAGUGUCAGGGUCCAGGCUGACGUCCUCAAGCACUUUGCCUUUCUGCUGGUACAGGUACUCAACUCCGAUGUGCUCCCCUCUCACACAGAGAAGGAAUCAGUCACGGCUCGUUUUGCUCUGUUAUGAAAUGAGGUGUUUUCACAUCGCAUACCUGUGUACUUAGCCAGCUCGGUGAAGUCCUUAACCACCUGAAGACCAAGCACUCUUUGGCUCUUCUGGUUAACAACGUGCUUGAGGUGGCCACUGUAGGAGUGCAGAGGUCCCAGCCGUCCCUCAUCUGCAGCCGGUGGUGGUGCAGCUGCUGCUGCGCGGUCCUCGCUCCACCUCACCAGUCCAUUCACCAGGAACGCCUGUAAGUGCUUGGCACUGUAAAUGGAGAGUACAUUUGUCACAAGCUGUGAGACACAUGCCGGUACCUGGGAUGAACCAGUUAUGGUGGAGGUGGAAGGACUCCAGAGAGGGUGGAGCCCCUGCGCAGCGAUAAAUGGGCAGGCUGACUCCUCCCUUGGUCAGCCGGCCCAUCUGGGUUUACAGCUGCACACCUGGCAGGUCCUGGAUGCAGCUGAGGUGGGUCCUCUGCGUACUCCAUAUGUCCUGGAAGCGGAGACUGUUGAGCAACGGGAUGCCCAGGUUGUUGCGUCCUGCCGGUCCACCGAAGGUGUCGAGGAGGGCCGAUUCCUCAGGCCCACGUGUCCUGCAACGGCAGUGGAGCCUCCACUCCUCCCUGGAGAUCCUCUGGAUCACCGCAGCGUCGGUCAGUCCAACCAUCCCGUGCUUCCCCUCCAGCCGGGACCGCUUAGCCUCUGCGAGAUGGCGUGCAUCUCCGGCGUAGAAGAUGCAGUGAGACAGCUUCCCCAUGAAGGCGGGGUACAGCUCGUGGCUCUCGGUGUCGACACCUGAUGGGAAGCGUCGCCCCAGCCAGUCGGUACUGCCUCAUCAAGCCCGCCGCCAUCCUGGACAGGCCCCCAGCGCUCUCGGUGCAAGUGAGGACGCUCAUGAAGACCUGCCCGUGCUCAUUGCCGACGUUGGUUGCCCAGGCGGCCGUGUCGGAGGAGAUACCCACGAGCAGAGAGAUUCUGAGAGUUAAUGUGAGAAACACACAGCAGCUGGAAGGAAAAGAAACUGACAGACUGCACUCGCCGCCUUGGUGGAAUCCAUCUUUAAGAUGGACCCUAAGGUGGACGUGAUCCUGGCCUUGUACUCUUCCAGCCGCGCCAGGACGUCGUAGCUGUAUACAGUCAGCAGCCAGACGGGGGAUGGCAGAGGUGGAAUCUGCCCCCUUGCCGAGCCCAAGGCCAGGAAUCGCUCGCACACGCUGAGGUACUGGAUCGCUCUCCGCAUCCAGGUGUCCGAGUGCUGCUCCCGCAGGGUGUUGUACAGCUGGUUGGCACUGUUGCGCAGAGUGCGGGACCUCAGCUGUAUCACCACCCUCAUGUCACAGGACAGCCUGCAGAACGCCAACAUCACGUAGAGCUGAGUCUGCACCUCCAACGGGAUGUUCAACACAAAUGGUGAAGAAAUGCCUCCUUACUUGUACGUGAGUACAGCUGGGAACUGGCAGCUAUGGGUGGGGGACAGCUGCCUGAUGAUGCCCUGUGACCACCCUCCGACGUGCUUCUUACAUCGACGGCACUCCAGGUACUCUGUGCCCAUGAGGUACCAGCCGUCGAUGUCCAGGACCCUCCGGAUGGUCCUGUACAGCCCAGCCUUGAUCAAGGACCCAGUGCACAAUGGCUAGGGGCAUGUCAGCUGCAAAUCCGGUGUGGCAUCCAGAGGAACAGCCGACAUGUGAAGAAGGGGUCGGGGGAUGCGGAAGGCUGGUUGUAGACCGGCCGGGAUUGGGGGGGUGCCAACAGAGGUUGAGCUCACCGACGAGCCAAGGCCUCCACUGGCUGUCCCUGGUAAACAGCACCCAUCCGAUCCACUGCUGCCGCUCCACAGUGAGAGCUGCCCUCCAGGACUGAGGCAGCAACUGGUGAGAUGACAGCACAAACAUAAAACCAUUUUAAUAUCUAUAGACAAUCAGCAGGGACACCUGUGGUCUCACGUGUUAGAGAUACUGCCUCACCUCACUGACAGAAGAUGGAGGGGGAGGGAGGAAGCCUGGACCGGGCAACUCCUCCUGUUCCUCCAUGGCGACGGGUGCAGACGGCGGCUGGAGGCAAGGGAGCCGGUGUCCCUGCAGGCUGAACCACGACAAGGGCUGUAGGAAGUUCCAUCAGGGCGUCUAUCUCCUGCGAGGCUUCCAGCAGCUCCUCGUCUGUGGGCUUGUCCAGCAGAGCAGAGACACCAGCUCCUGGAGGAGGAGGUGCUGCCGAGGAAGAGGAGGUGGCGACGAUCGCAGCGGGUGGUGGCAGGAGUAAAAGAGGGGCCUUUUGCAAGGUAAAAUAAAUGUUUGAGGUAAACGCUUGAGAUUAAGAUGAAUUAUUAUUAAUACUGAGAGACUGACGAAGAGCUGCAUUUACACACCACAAGAGAUCAGGAGGUGGUUUUAAAGAGAGAAAGUCAGGGUGAGAUGAUAACUAGUUAGCCAUGCAGAUGUUGAGCUAGCCAGGCACUGAUGAAAGCACAGUGAAAAAGACAAUGUUAUUUGUAGAGGUGGGUUAUUGAUCCAAGAUGAUCAUCAAAUCGCUGACCCAAAACUUACCAGUCAUCUGCUUUCGUCCUCUGAUCAAGAAACGUUUUAAAGUCAUAUUGAUUGUUGACGCUUUUUUUAGUACUUUGUGAACAAAGUGUUUCCUGUUUAUGACUUUACUCUUUACUUACACGUCUGUCUCCAAGUCAACUACCUCCGUGACCAGCUCUUCAUCUCAAGUCUCCACAGAUGACCGGGGGGAGGACAGAGCUGGUCGGAAGGGGCUGAAGUGGGGGGCUGCAGACACAUGAUGACAGAAGAUAAACCAGGAACACGGGAGCGUAGAUCAAGUGGAACAUCAGUAAAUAACUGAGGCUGGACUGACCUGUAGAUGCAGGCUUAGGGGCCACCAGCUUCUUCACCUGGGCCUGCAUCUCCACAGCAGAUAGAGACAAACACCACAAGCGCUGGACCAAGAGGCCUAUUAUGACACACGAUAAAUGACACGCAACAAUAAUUGAGACAACAUUACAAAAAGCACUUGUGAUGCACUCCUGGCUCUCAGGGUUGCGGGCGAUGCAGAGGCUGCGCUGCUGCUGGAGGCGGUGGAGGAGGUAGAUGCUCCAGCAGCAGCUUUCAUCCUCUGUCUGUCUCUGUUGCGCACAUACUGGACGGCGUUCUCCAUCUGCGUCCCUGGAGCUGGUGACGUCCUCCGGAGGUAUUUGACAAAACUGCACAAAUCAAACAAUCAACACUCACAUGAUUCUGAUGAUCGAUGGUCGCCACAGUAACGUGACUAUAGUAAUAAUAAUGAUCUUUUUCACCGGAUCUUUUUGUUGUCCGUUGCCUCGUAAAGGCUCUCCAGGGACUCAAACUUAAAGUCCCCGAAGCCAACAAGGGCCCGUCCCUGCUGACCGGGCUGGAGGGAAUUUGCCCGCGCCUCCUCAAAUGCCCGGUGGAACCUGACUGUCUCCACAAAGUCCUUGUAGGUGGAGGAGUAGCGGGUGAAGGGGUCCUGUGAGGUUACACAGUGAGAUUACACUAUGAGGUUAAAUAUCAUAAUUUCUCUAAUUGUAACUGUCUGAAAGUGUUAUGAAGGACUUAACCUCGUUGGCCAUCAGCGGGGACUGAGCCUCCGUCCUCUGGCGCUCUUUCUGGUGGGAGGCGACCAGAUUGACGCUGUAGCCCACGUCGUUCUCCAAAAGCCAGUGGAAGGUUCUGCCCUGGUAGCGACCCAACUGCACCUUCCACCGGCUCAGGACCAGGGAGGCGUUGGUGGUGUCACCGCCCUCGGUGACAACGAAAGUCCAGGCCUCCGAGUCCACCUCCUCUGGCCUCUUUGCCCUGUAAGGCGCCUGGGCACUGGGGGGCAUCUGGUUUGGCGGCAAAUCACUGUCAAAAUUUGAGAGCGUAAAUCAGGUUGAUGCGCGCACCUCAAUCAAACAUCCGCGAGCAAAUGUCCGUCUCGCGUGAGCAAAAGUCCAUCUUGCGCGAGAUAUUUGCCCUCUCGCGAAACGUGAACUUCCUCGCUUGCGAGGUUAGUCUCUGCUCGCGCUCGAAGGUGUUUUCUACGCGCUCGCUGUUUUUCUUUUUGACAGUAAGGGGGCGGAGCCAGUCACCAUGGUAUCUACAUCUGAUUGGUUACAAACCCCGUGUUUGGAUUGGCUGGAGUGAUGCAUUCACACAACUAUAGAAGCCCAUUUCUGCACUAAUGUAAGGGGAUAGAAAGUCGAAUUUCUGAGAUAAAACGUUCGGUAACCGUAGUGGACCGUAGAUGACAACCAGCUACAACCAUCAUUUACCAUCAUUACCAUAUGCGUUCCACCAGCCCGUUCGUCUGCGGGUGAUACACGCUCGUACGAACUUAAUAAAAGUUACGAACGGCCUUAAUGCCCAGUAACCCGUAAAGUUCUCUCAGUGUGCACGACAUGAACGUAGUGCCCUGGUCAGUCAGAAUCUCCUUAGGGAUUCCAACUCGGGAGAUGACCUGAAACAGAGCCUGCGCGAAGCUCUUUGCAGAGAUAUUGUGCAACGGCUCUGCCUCCGGAUAACGCGUUGUCAGAGUUCCCCCCUCCGGACCCAGGUAAAGGCUGGUUUAGGUCGGCCUCGCACGUACCUGUCUCAGCUCUGCAAUCACGCACCUGCACCGGAGCCACAAUCACCAGGGGAUAAGAGGGAGAGCCUGACAACCGGCCGACGUCGGAUCGUUACUCACGUCACCUAUGUCGACCUCAGUCUUCGCGAGUCUCAGUGACCAGCACCCAGUCAAGCCGAGAGCCGGCUGUUCUCUUUUCAUUCAGUGUAAAUCCUGUUACUUACCUCUUGUCUCACCUCCUCGGUUACAGUGACACCUGUCUGUUCCUGCACGUGGGAGGACCACUGGGCACCGCGCACUGUCGAGGAGAUCAUCACCCGGGACCCCCUCCUUCAUCUGCACUCCUCACGCCCACAACACAAAGCGAUAUCCGCGUGUGAUAUCUGCGAUAUCCGCGUGCGCUCCGGUGAAACGGCCCGAUGAGGUCCAUGCCGAUCCGCUCGAACGGAACCUCCACCAACGGUAGAGGACGCAACGGCGCCCUCGGAAUGGCCGGAGCGUUCACUAACUGACACUCCGGGCAGUACGCGCACCGGCGGCGCACGUCCCCCCGGAUGCCUGGCCAAUAAAAUCGGGUCAUUAUCCGGUCUAGUGUUUUCUUGUAUCCCAUGUGACCAGCCAUCGGGUUAUAGUGAGCUGCCUGGAAAAUCAUUUCCCGGCGGCUUUUUGGCACCAGCAACUGAGUGUUUUCCUGCCCCGUCUGACUCACUCUAUACAGUCUGUCCCUAAUCAACGAAAAGUGCAGAAAUGACUGCGCUGCAUCAGGGCGCACCAGAUGACCAUCAACUCGUAUCACUUGGUCGUAGGCUGAGCGUAGGGUAUCGUCACGAGACUGUUAGAGUGGAAAAUCUUCCAUGGAGCGAAACUCGGGAGCCAGCGGAGUCUCCAAGGGAGGCUCUGCGGGUUCCCCCUCCCCGUCUGCAGUGUCGGACGACCCUGCGUCACCGCUGAGCACAGCGCACAUCUCCCUGUCGGUCGUGAACGCACCCCCGUAGCCCCCCCAUUAGCUAUCAAACCCCGGCCAAUCUGUACCCAAAAUGACGGGGUGCGUCAGGCGGGAGCUAACCGCGACCUUCAUUCUAUGCUUUUUCCCCUCAUACCUAAUUUCCACCGAUAUUAUUACAUUACAUGUCAUUUAGCGGACGCUUUUAUCCAAAGCGACGUACAAUAAGUGCAUUCAACCAUAGAGUACAAACUCAGAACAAGAAAGUGCAAUUUCCUCAAAUAAGCCAAUUUACAAUUUGCUAUAGAUGAGUGACGUUACAAGUACAAUUUAAGUGCUACAAUUCGUUAGUCUUUAGUCGAGGUAGAGUCUGAAGAGGUGUGUCUUUAGUUUGCGGCGGAAGAUGUGAAGGCUCUCUGCGGUCCUGGUGUCUUCAGGGAGCUUGUUCCACCAUUUCGGCGCAAGGACAGCGAAGAGUCGAGAUCUAGUCGAGAUACCACAGGAUACACGUGAACAUUACCCAUGCACACACCAUAGUCUCACCCGGUCUGCCUCCACCAAUGCCCCCGGCCGAACCAGGCUCUGAUGAAUCAUAGACUGCGUGCAGCCCGAGUCCACCAUCGCCUGGCGUAUACCCCCCUGGAUCCUUACCGGAAUGCGGUACAACGCUCCCGGGCCGGGGGAGGGUGUUGGAACGCCAGCAACCCGGAUCACUGUGCCCAGGGCACCGGUGUUCUCUGGGGUCGGUGAGUAGCGGGCCGGGAGGAACGAUGUCCGUCGUGGGGUCGGCACGGGUCGCUCCGCCGCCGGCUGCUGCCCCCCUCCCCGUUGCGCUGGUCGGGCCGGGGAUGGCGUACCCCCCUGGUCCCGCUGUCUGCCGGGGUGCACCGCCAGGUGAUCCUCCGCAAGGGUGAUGGCAGCUCUGAGGGUCGGCGGGCGGUGGUAUUUCACCCACGCUGCCGUCCGGGUCGGGAGCCCCUCUGCAAACUGCUCCAACACCACCUUCUCCAUCACUGCUUCCACUCCACCCCAUCGCCGUUAGGCAGCAGCCAUCUGCUCACGGCAUCCUUGAGCCGCUGCCCGUACGUGAACGGCCGGUCCUCUGGCUCAGCUGAGGCCAAUUGCCUCCACCUGGCACCGUUCCCUGAGCCACUCCCUUCUCCGUCCCCUCUGCAGCCGAGCCAAACCACGCCCGCCACCACAAGGGUGUUCCAUCUAAACAAAUGGACCCUACAUGACACGUGACACUCCCAUCUAUGACAUCAGUUAUAUUACAGCAGUGUUAAUUUUGUAAGCUAUUUUUGAUUUAGUCUUAUGCAUAUUAGUUUUAGUCACAUUUAGUCAUUUUAAUCCUUCUUAGUUUUAGUCUACUUUUCGUCGACGAAAACUAGACUAAAAUGUAAUUAGUUUUAGUCUAGUUUUAGUGCCAUUUAAUAGCCAUAUUAAACUCCUUUUCUUCCCUUCUCAGGUCCAGGGACCCCCUGUGUUGUGUCUACAACUGCAUAAUGGUCUAGCUUGCAGUACUUGGUUGUCCAUUAGAUGUCCCUCCUAGGACAGGUUUAUAGCAGGUCGGCAAACUUUUUGACUGCCGGGCCACAAUGGGUUGUAAAAUGUGACGGAGGAGCCGGGCCAAGAACAAAUGGUUGAAGUGUUUGUGUGAGCGAAUAUAAAUGACAUGUGAAAGGAAAGGAUUUGGAUUUUAACAAAUAGCAAAGCAUUUAUUUGCAAGGCAAUUUAACAAAUUGGCAAAGGUGUAACAACUUCAUGAGGACCAGGGAUCUAAACACAACACUUUGUUGUCUUUGUCUGUUUACUUGCAAUGCUUUUGAAACUUCAUGGUCCUUUAUUGUUUCCACUGUGAAAUUGCUCGUUGUCACGCCCUAAUUGUGUUCACCCGUAUUCACCUGUUUUUCCCCUGUCUCCUCCCAAACCAGGUGUUCCCUGUUUGUCAAUUAUCCCUUGGGCAUAUAACCUGUGUCUUCUCCCUGUACUUGUUGCCAGUUCGUCUUGUGUGUUUCACCAGGUCUUACCAGCGUUAUAUCCCCGUAGUUUCCAGUCGAUUCUUGAGAUCCCCCGUGUACUGACCCCUGCCUGCCUCUGACAACGACACGGCCUGCCACCUCUGUACCUCCGACCUCCUGUGUACCGAACUCCGGCCUGCCUCUGACAACGACACUGCCUGCCACCUCUGAACCCCUGAUCUCCCGUGCACCGAACUCCUGCCUGCUUCCGACAACGACACUGCCUGCCCGAAUUCCUCUUCAUUAAACCUUAUUCCUCAUAUCUGCGUUCGGGUCUCUGUCUGAGUCGUGAUACUCGUCCCAACUAAAGAGACCUUAAUGUCCUACAAUCGGUGAAAUACAUUAUUUUCUAGGCUGCAUCAAAAAGCAGCCAUUCUAAACUGGACCAACACUUUUCAUUCAACAGUCUUUUCUUUUUCUUUGUCUUUGUUUAUUUGUUGGUUUCAUGACCAGUUCUUGUCUCUUGGUUUCAUGACCAGUUCUUGUCUCUUGUGUCCUGCGGGUUUUCCUCCACCUGCUCUGUGCCGCCACGUCCUUCACCUGCACUGCGCACUUCUAUCAAAAGGCUCCACCUGUCACGCGUGUGCGCGCCUCUACGUUGCUUAGUAACGAGCGUACGGUGGCCGAGACGGUUUAACACCGUCUUCUCACGAUGUGGCGUGUGAACUAUAGUUGAAAUGCGUGAGGCUUGAGAACCUGCAAUGAGUUUAUUAUGUUAAACGUGUUAACAGCCCCGAGCUGUUAAACGGGUCUUCAUGUUUCUGUGAAGCAGCACGGCUUCAGCCUGCUAACAGGCAGCUAACCAGAGACAGCUGAGCUAAACUAACGAAGCCACGUUCAAACUCGCCGAAGCGUAAAAUAGUCGUCGCGGUCCGCAGUCGUGCACAAGAAGCACCGCUGCACCGAUGCGAGUGAGCGUUCUGGGUUCGUGGAUGACGUCAUCAUGACACGUUAAUAACCGCCGUACUUUUCCUGUCUGUUGUCUGUCAGCUGCGGGCGAAUUUAGGGGGAAAAAACAUGUUUGUCUCGUUAACGAAAGUUAGAAUAGAUUUAGUCAUGGUUUUUAUUUUUUAAGUAACGUCUUAGUCUCGUUUUAGUCAUGGAUUAAAAGGUUGUUAACAAAAAAUUUGUCAUAGUUUUCGUCGACGAAAUUAACACUGUAUUACAGUAUUUCCUCUUGUCAUUAAAUCCUUCCUAUCAGAGGCAACCGAUGUCUGUCUCUAAAUAUGCACAUCUUUUUGAAUGGUUGUUAUUCCACAACAAGACAUUUGUCUUGUGCUAAACCUGUGUCUGAAGUGUCUGUAUUUGACCCUGAUGUGCAAAAGCAGAAAGAUUUAAAGUUUUCAUAUGCAGCUGUGUCUGAAGAAGGGAGUUAACUUGCUCUCACAGACGCUCGAACAAACUAGCAUUGUGUGUUACCCUCAUCUUCACCUUAUCUCAACCUGAUUUGUAGCUUCUUGUAACUGGCACUGAGGACGGUCUUCAUGUGUAUAAAGACUGAGUGUUUUUACUGCUCGGAGACGCCAUUUACACCGAACGCUGAAAUACGUGCUUGUGUGAGACCUCCUGCUUGCAAGCAAUAGUUAGUGCCAGAUAUCUGGGGAGAAUUGCUUAUGUAAUCUUUUUCUCUUCUAAAUAAAUGUUAACUUUUUGACUUUAAUUAAUCAACGUGCUGCGAUCCUUCUCAUCAAACGACUCGGGGGGAUCGGAGAUCCCCACACACAUAAAUGACGAAUUAUUCCACAUAAAUGACAAAUAUCACAAUUCUACUGGACUGUUGAAUGACACAUGAAUAAAACAUGCUGCUGUUAGUUGUAAUAAAGUAACGUUAGAACUUGUUAAUAGCUGGUACUGUCAACAUGUGGCGCAUAACUGAUGACUGCGGUCAACUCGAUUCCAGGCUGCCCCAUGUUCCAUGUCGAAGUGUCCCUGAGCAAGACACCUAACCCCGAAUUGCUCCCCAGGCAAAAAUGUGAGAAAAGCCAUGGGUUUAAAGUGUAAUGUAAGUCGCUUUGGAUAAAAGCGUCUGCUAAAUGACCUGUAAUGUAAUGUAACUCAGCCGACGCUUGAAAUUUAGUGCACGCAUAUGCUGACAUUUACGGUAUUGAACAAGUAACCCGAAAAAAGGCUAAUUAAAUAGCAAAUUCCAGACAAUGAUAGAACUAUGUGUGUAAAGGACUACUGGUGUACAAUAAAAUAAAUAUUUGUACAGUAAAAAUUUGGAGAUUUCGCAAGUAAAAGCCCUAUAAUUAAAAUUUCAAAAACACAAUUUCUCCAUAUUUGAGCUGCAAUAAAAACUGAUUUCCCUAUAGUUCCAGUCCAAGAUCAAUGUACCUGUGUUAAGGACCUCUCUGACUACUGACAUGCUGAAUUUGAAACAUUUUUACUUUACAGAUUUGGAGAUAUCUGCAAAGUAAAAGCCCUAUUUUUUCAAGUUCAAAAACACCACUUCUCAAAGUUUGAACUGCAAUUAAAACAGAUUGAUCAAUAGUUCCAGACUGAGACUAAUGCACAUGUGUUAAGGACCUCUCUGACUACUACCAUGAUGAAUUUGAAACAUUUUUACUGUACAGUUUGACAGAUUUCACCAAAGCAAAAGCCCUAUAAUUGCACGUUCAAAAACACCUGUCACGAUCUGGCGCUCCCCAGAGUACUGAGGCCUUCAAUAUCUGGUCCCCAAACUCCCCCCCUGUUUACUGUGCAGUUGGUCUGUCCCGUUUUGUGUUGGUUUGUUCCACUGUGUGUCUGUCUGUUGUGCACGCCCACUCACCGGUGUCUGGUUCCCCAUCAAGCUGGUCUGUAUAUAUACCCCUUAUCCCUCUGUGUUCUUUGCAAAGUCUUGUGUAAUUGUUAUCACAUUCUGAGCGCUAUUUGGAUAUCCUGUUUUGUACUCUCGUUGAAGACCCCUUUUUGUUCCAGACCUCGUUGCCUCCUGCCUGAUUCCUGACUGUACCUUUGCCCUUGUCCGUGCUCCUGGAUAUCGACCUCCCACCUGUCUUUUGGAUAUGACUAAGCCUAAUCCCUGUAUACCUGUUCUUCAUUAAAUCUCCGCUCUGCACUUGGGUCAACUCCUGUCUCCUGUGAUGCGUUACAACACCAUUCCUCAAAGAUUGGACUGCCAUAAAAACAGAUUGAUCAAUAGUUACAGGCCAAGACCUAUGUACCUGUGUUAAGGACCUCUCUGACUACUACCAUACUGAAUAUCAAGUACUUUUACUGUGCAGAUUUGGAGAUUUCUUCAAAGUAAAAGCCCUAUUUUUGCUCGUUCAAAAAGACCAUUUCUCAAAGUUUGAACUGCAAUAAAAACAGGUUGAUCAAUAGUUCCAGACCAAGACCAAUGUACCUGUGUUAAGAACCUCUCUGACUACUAGCAUGAUAAAUAUCUAACAUUUUUACUGUACAGAUUUGGAGAUUUCACCAAAGUAAAAGCCCUAUAAUUGCAUGUUCAAAAAGAUCAUAUCUCAAAGUAUCUCAAGUUGAAAUGCAAUACAAACAGAUUGAUCAAUAAUUCCAGACAAAGACGUACAUUUAUCCGUACAACACUUUCAUGACAAUAAAUUCACUGACUAUUUUGUAUAUACAAGUUAAAGAUUCUCGAAAAUAAACAUUCGUCUAACAUUUAUACAUUCAUGGACAUCUUUGAUCUUAGUAAAAAAAUAAAUUGACCUUUUAGUAGGUUCUUUGACACAAUUAACAAACGUGAAUCCUAAUGUGGGGGGUCUAGAAGGAACAGACCUUGGCGGCAGAUUCUGGCUCUGGGGAUGGGGAACGUAACCUCUCUGGGGGGGAAGGAGCCGGAGCUUGUGCGGGAGGUGAAGCGUCAGUUGGAUCUGGUGGGGCUUACCUCUACGCACAGCCUCGGCUCUGGAACCACACUCCUGGAUAGGAGAUGGACUCUAUUCUACUCCGGGUGUGGGGAUACUCAAGUCCCCAGCUGAGUGCUGCUACAUUGGACUUUACCCCAGUGGACAAAAGGGUCACCUCCCUAUGCCUUCAGGUGGUGGAGGGGAAAGCUCUGACUAUUGUCUUUGCAUAUGUACCAAACAGCAGCUCAAAUUAUUCAGCCUUUUUGGAGACCCUGAAUGGAGUCCUGCAUGGGGCUCCAGUAGGGGACUCCAUAGUCCUACUGGGAGACUUCAAUGCGCACGUGGGCGACGAUGGAGAUAACUGGAGAGGCGUGAUUGGGAGAAAUGGCCUCCCUGAUCUGAACCCGAGCGGUUGUUUGUUAUUGGACUUCUGUGCUAGUCACGGAUUGUCUAUAACAAACACCAUGUUCGAACGUAAGGAUGUUAAUAAGUGUACGUGGUACCAGAACAUCCUAGGCCAAAGAUCAAUGAUCGAUUUUGUAAUCGUAUCGUCUGAUCUGAGGCCGCAUGUUCUGGACACUUGGGUGAUAAUCAAAAUGUCUUUUCAUGGGCUUAGUUGGGGGUUCGCUGUCUUGUCUUGAUUUAAGAGUUAGGUAAGGGGGGAAGCAAGAUGUCGAGCAGGCAGACACGAGUCUGACAGGAUGGGGAGUCAGUUUCUGUCCAGGCUGAGGAAUGCAAGAUCUGCAGGUCAACUAGCAGAUUUGCUAGCCUAAGGGGGGUUAGAGACACACCAACACUAUUCAACAUACACACUCUGUUUACGAUGUUUACGUUAAGUCAGGAGUCUGGACAUUGGAUGUGACCGGAUCUUAGAUGCGGGAGGUGGAAGGUCCUCCUCUACGCCAGUUUAGGGCCAAUAGAAAUCUUUCCUUCUCUGUCUUUCAAGGGUUAUAAAACAUGAUGUUCUUGCUGAUGUUAGUUAUGUCACACCUGUAUGUCAAGUUGCGUUUUUGUCCUGUCUCCAGUUGUUUUUUGACUUCCUGUUUUAUUUUGGAAACUAACUCCCUCUCGUUUCAGGUCCCUUGCCCUUCCUCAUGUGUCACCAGUCUGAUUGUCUCCCCUGAUUCCUGAUUGUGUCCACCUGUUCCCACAACUCCCUCAUGGGUACUUAUAGUCUGCGUCGCCCCUUGUCCUGUGCCAGUGUGUCUUGUUGUUUUGCCCUGCACACCAGCCCUCACGUCACGAGUCAAGUCAAGUCCGAUAACGUUUGUCACGUCCUUUUGAUCCCUGUUACAU
Molecule: long non-coding RNA, 13545 nt
Organism: Gasterosteus aculeatus aculeatus (three-spined stickleback)
Lineage: Eukaryota; Metazoa; Chordata; Actinopteri; Perciformes; Gasterosteidae
Source: Ensembl